RNAcentral lists this small nuclear RNA (55 nucleotides) under Eremothecium gossypii ATCC 10895. Its description in RNAcentral is "AgSNR63 (AGOS_AgSNR63)". The record is from RNAcentral. RNAcentral also lists the same sequence under 1 other name. Lineage: Eukaryota; Fungi; Ascomycota; Saccharomycetes; Saccharomycetales; Saccharomycetaceae.
UGGGCGUCUUUUUGUGUUAUGAGUGGCUGGAUUCUUUUGUCAUAGUUACACUGAG